This 253-nucleotide ribosomal RNA is filed under the name uncultured bacterium. RNAcentral describes it as "partial 16S ribosomal RNA". It matches the Rfam family "Bacterial small subunit ribosomal RNA", at positions 524 to 776 of the family's 1533-position model. The record is from RNAcentral.
UACAGAGGUCUCAAGCGUUGUUCGGAUUCACUGGGCUUAAAGGGCGCGUAGGCGGCUUGCCAAGUCAGGGGUGAAAUCUUUCGGCUCAACCGGAAAAGUGCCUUUGAUACUGGCGAGCUAGAGGGAGGUAGGGGUGCGUGGAACUUCUGGUGGAGCGGUGAAAUGCGUAGAUAUCAGAAGGAACGCCGGUGGCGAAAGCGACGCACUGGAUCUCUACUGACGCUGAGGCGCGAAAGCUAGGGGAGCGAACGGG